Molecule: long non-coding RNA, 2486 nt
Organism: Bombus terrestris (buff-tailed bumblebee)
Lineage: Eukaryota; Metazoa; Arthropoda; Insecta; Hymenoptera; Apidae
Exons: 3
Source: RefSeq, a predicted model, not a curated record
GGCCAGUACGGGCAGAAUCACAGAUCCUUCGUUAUUCGAUGUUUCGUUAUGGAAUUCCCGCUGGAUCGACACUCUCUUCAAAUGACGCACGAUUUAUGUACGCGUGUGCUUUAUACUAUCGUUAUACUAACUAUAAUAGGCUGCUAGGCUGCUGUAUACUAGCAAAGAGGGAAUUAGAGUGCUGGCGCGCGUCCUUGUGUUUGUCCCCUAUACAAGCGCUGUACCAAACAGCCAAGUGUUGCAGUGGUUUAACCACAGACGAGUAUAUGCAUAAGAUAAAUCACAUAUAAUCAAAGUACGAUCGUAUUAAAUAGGUUUCGACACUCGCUAGGGGAAACCGUUCGAAAAUUGAGUCGUCAAAAAUUAACACGGAAGACAAUAAAGUUCUUCUUAUUCUGCUCGUGCAUAAUACGCACAUAUACAUAGAUACUACUAGAUUAAUAAAUGAUAAUAAAUAUGGAAACGUUUUAAAACUUUGUAUAACACAGAUAUGAAAUUAUUCGAGGCAAAAGCGCUAGAUUUAUGCGCGAAGCAUAUGAAUCUGAGCAAUUUCGCUAAAAUGUGAGUCCGAUUAGCUACGCAACUAUGUUAUGGCUUUUAUUCGUGCAAAAAAAUGUUAGUACUUGUCGGAAGUUCAUAUUUAUUUUAUUUGUAUAGCUGUUUAGUAGAUCAGUGUGUAUAGUUGCAUUUGAAAUAUGUAAACAAUCAAAUUAUGUGGUAUUAGGUGAUAUUGUAGCAGCAGUAAAAAUAUUUUUGUUUCGUCUGGCGGUCAAGGUUUUAAAACGUUACAAUGAUUCUUUUUGCUGAACGAAACAAGAAAUAAGAAGAAAAGAGGAGGAGACACAGAGGUGAAUAAAAGAGGGUUGAUAAAAGAAGUGGUAAUAAGUAUGAAAGAGAAGCUUGAACCAAGUUAACGAAAAUGGAAGGAAGGGAAGCUAAGUCUGGAUAGGAGGGUACGGGAGCUGGAGAAGGCAGAGGAACGCAGAAAUAACAGGGGAAAAAAGAGAAUAACGUAAUGAUUAAAGAUGUCCGAAUAAAUAGGUAAUUAGAACAGGAGGUUGGAGGGUUUAUAACGAAGAACGUGGAAACUGGAAAAGGAAUAUUAGUACGACAAGAGUAAGAUUGGCUGAAAUAGAAGACAUAAAUGAUAAUCUAUAUAUAGAUGACAGUCUAACAACGAUAGAGUGUGUAAUACAGAGAGCAGUAAGCAAUAGGGAAGGUAAAAGUUAAUGGAAAUCAGAUAUAAAAAGUUAUUUAGAAAUAGAAACAAAUAUAUAUAUAUAUAUAGAGAGAGAAAGGCGUUUGAUCUUAGUAAGAGAGGGUUAUUUUUUGAGAAACCAGCCGAUAAAAAUUAACAGGGUACUCGUUAUCUCGAGAGAUCAUUUAAAAGGAGGAGGUUUAGUGGUAGAAUGUGCAUUAUUUAUAAUAUUAAGGAAAUUAAAAAGAAAGAGAAGGUGAAAGAAACUGAAACAAUAAGAGAAAGUGAAACAUGGUUUCGCGGCCGAAAUAGUAAAAAAGAUAAGAACUAUAAUAUCAGUGAUAUACACGUUAAGAAAGAGAGAAUGUAACAAAGAGUUUUUAGUAAAGACUGUAAGGACAGAUGUUGAGAUUCGUUUAGUUGAAUAGCAUGCCAAAGAAAAGUAAACGAAGAUUACCGACGAAUCUCAGAAGCAGAGUUAAAUAGAAUUUCAGUUUAUUUAUAAUAUAAAUCGAAUAAAUACUAUGUAUACUAUCUGUAUGACAAAUACUACCAAAUCAACAAUAGCAAGACAGAAAUAAGUACAAACUAAAAGUAAAUAAUAAUAAUUGCUAUGAUAUAGAAUAAGAAUGAUUAUUUAAAAAAGUGAAACGUAAUGGACAAUUGCCCGAUACAAUAAACGUAUAAAUAAUAAACACUAUAUGUAUACAUACAGAGUCUAUUAGCGGUAGAGUGUAUUAUUAAAUGUAUAACUUUUUAUCAUUUCUAAUUUAAAAAAGAUGUAACGUUCGGUUUUAUAGCUUUUAUUGUCUGGAUUUAUUAUAAUAGUUUUAACGAUAAAAGAAGCUAACUAAAAGGAUAAAAAGGUAACUAUCUAGUAACCAACUUUUAAAACGUUCGAAAUAAAUGGUAAUUUUCCGCGUGUGCGCACAACGCGAACUUUGUUAGCUUACAUGUUGAUUUUCUUACGACUCAAUUUUCGCACGGUUUCUCUUCUUCGUGCUUCGGUAUAUGAGCGUCGAGACUCGUUUGAUCGCGAGUGGUGUGAGAUCCGUUUAUACGACAGUGUCUAGGAGAGUGGUACAUUUGUCGCCUAUGGUCACCACAUUUCUAUCAGUGUUGUUCCGUCCAUUACGGAUAGUUGAACCUCUCUCGAAGGAAUGAUCUACUCCAGCGGUCCUUGACGGUUCUGUAUUCCGUGGAACCUCGGACGGCCUCGAAGCCCCCGUAUUCGUAUACGAAUAAAAAAUAUAUAGUUUGUACAAAUAAAUACACAUGUAUCCCUCUC